GAGUUUGAUCCUGGCUCAGGAUGAACGCUGGCGGCGUGCCUAAUACAUGCAAGUCGAGCGAACGGACGAGAAGCUUGCUUCUCUGAUGUUAGCGGCGGACGGGUGAGUAACACGUGGAUAACCUACCUAUAAGACUGGGAUAACUUCGGGAAACCGGAGCUAAUACCGGAUAAUAUUUUGAACCGCAUGGUUCAAAAGUAAAAGACGGUCUUGCUGUCACUUAUAGAUGGAUCCGCGCUGCAUUAGCUAGUUGGUAAGGUAACGGCUUACCAAGGCAACGAUGCAUAGCCGACCCGAGAGGGUGAUCGGCCACACUGGAACUGAGACACGGUCCAGACUCCUACGGGAGGCAGCAGUAGGGAAUCUUCCGCAAUGGGCGAAAGCCUGACGGAGCAACGCCGCGUGAGUGAUGAAGGUCUUCGGAUCGUAAAACUCUGUUAUUAGGGAAGAACAUAUGUGUAAGUAACUGUGCACAUCUUGACGGUACCUAAUCAGAAAGCCACGGCUAACUACGUGCCA
Molecule: ribosomal RNA, 519 nt
Filed under: uncultured microorganism
Description: bacterial SSU rRNA
Rfam family: Bacterial small subunit ribosomal RNA
Source: RNAcentral